GUCAGACUGUUUUACCAUGGUUGGCAUCCACCUUGCUGAUCAAGGAUGCUGUGUUUCGGGUGCAAAACCAUCGAAGCCUAUGAGAAUCCUAUCAUCAGCCUUGUGCUCAUCUCCUCCUCCACCCCAGUGGGAGAGCCUGGGAGCAUCUCCUACACCAGAAGUCCCCAAAUCUGCACAGGGAGCCUCCUCCUCAAACUGUCCUCAUGGGGUUUCUGGGAGAAGGAUGACUCACUGAACCAGAACCUGAGAAGGAAAAUGAUUCCUGAUGUUUCACAACAGCAGCAAGGUGUUUCUCAUUUUAGGUAUCUCUACAUGAACAUCUUUUUCUUUUUUCUUGGACUGAUGCUCCACAAAUGUCUCUAGAUGCACUUUUGUCUCUGUUUGAGGCCGGAGACCUUUUGUCCCCCUUUGCAAUUCCAACAAAGAGCACUGUCCAGUCCUCCCUUGCAUGUGCAGUCUGCCCACUACUACUUCAGUUGCCCUUUGCUGCUUUUUGAAAGGAGGCCCCUUGUGACUCUGCGAUUUUGUAAGUUUUUGCUUCAGCUUCUCAAAAGUUAUCUUUUCAUGUGCUUCUUCCAAGAGUCAAAUGCCACCUGAGAGAUGGGCCAGUUUACAUUAAGCGCUUGUGGUACUUUUAAGCCCAGAGCAAGGAGGGUUUGGGACUUUCUGUAGCAAAUCUGCUCAUUCAGGAGGCUGUGGAGGCUGCACCCUGUCCAGGAGGUGGCAUGUCCCAGGGCAGAUGUUUUAGCACCGCUCACUGCACGGACAAAUCCUCCAACACUAGAUGUGGGGCUGGAGAGUGGGGGCACAUUCUCUGAAGAAGCCCACUCCAAAAUAAUAUUUCUCUGACCCACAGCCUCCAUUUUCCUAAAGUAACUGCAUGGCCCUUCUGUCCCUUGGUGACAUUAUGGAGUUUCCAGUCUGUUCUGACUUUGCCUCCUUGCCAACUAUUACACCGAAAUGUUAUUUUUCACUUGCAGAGCAUAUUGCCCCUUUGUCUUCAUGAUAACGAACACAUGCCAGCUCUGCUGCAGGUGUUCCUAGAUAUGAUUCCACCCUGUGUACUUUAUUGCCUUACAUCAGCUCAGCAAGAAUGUCAUUGUCCCUCAGAUACGAGGAACUCCCUCCCAGUGUCUGAGGGCUUGGUAUCUUUAGUUCCCCAUGUCCCCCAGAACAGGGUACGUCCCUCUGGAUGGAGAAGCCCACUUGGUGUGCCAGGCUGAGUGGGGAUGGGUCUCCAGGGGAGCAGGAGCUUCAUGUCUGUUCAAAAUACAAGGCUGACAAAUCUCACAGAG
Molecule: long non-coding RNA, 1295 nt
Filed under: Anas platyrhynchos platyrhynchos (common mallard)
Lineage: Eukaryota; Metazoa; Chordata; Aves; Anseriformes; Anatidae
Description: lncRNA (ENSAPLG00000021503.1)
Source: RNAcentral